This 514-nucleotide ribosomal RNA is filed under the name uncultured bacterium. RNAcentral's name for it is "partial 16S ribosomal RNA". It matches the Rfam family "Bacterial small subunit ribosomal RNA", at positions 28 to 523 of the family's 1533-position model. The record is from RNAcentral.
GACGAACGCUGGCGGCGUGCCUAACACAUGCAAGUCGAACGGAGAAUUAGCAAUAAUUCUUAGUGGCGAACGGGUGAGUAACGCGUAGACAACCUACCCUUUAGAUGGGGACAACACCGCGAAAGUGGUGCUGAUACCGAAUAUUGCUUGAGAAGCGCAUGCUUUUCAAACUAAAGAUGGCCUCUAUUUAUAAGCUAUCGCUAAAGAAUGGGUCUGCGUCUGAUUAGCUAGUUGGUGAGAUAAAAGCUCACCAAGGCAACGAUCAGUAGCCGGUCUGAGAGGAUGAACGGCCACACUGGGACUGAGACACGGCCCAGACUCCUACGGGAGGCAGCAGUGGGGAAUCUUCCGCAAUGGACGAAAGUCUGACGGAGCAACGCCGCGUGAGUGAUGAAGGUUUUCGGAUCGUAAAACUCUGUUGUUAAGGACGAAUGUAUAGAUUGUGAAUAAAGUACUGCAAUGACGGUACCUGACGAGGAAGCCACGACUAACUACGUGCCAGCAGCCGCCGUAA